Acetobacter pasteurianus IFO 3283-01 is the source of this 72-nucleotide non-coding RNA. The record is from Rfam. NCBI's taxonomy places the organism in Bacteria, Pseudomonadati, Pseudomonadota, Alphaproteobacteria, Acetobacterales, Acetobacteraceae.
GCCCUUAUAGCUCAGUGGUAGAGCAACCGCCUUGUAAGCGGUAGGUCGUGGGUUCAAAUCCUACUGGGGGCA